GGUAGCGUGUCCGAGCGGCCGAAGGAACAUGUCUUGAAAACAUGCGAGGGCUCUGUCCUCCGUGGGUUCGAAUCCCACCGCUACCGCCA
Molecule: transfer RNA, 89 nt
Filed under: Amycolatopsis orientalis
Lineage: Bacteria; Bacillati; Actinomycetota; Actinomycetes; Pseudonocardiales; Pseudonocardiaceae
Also listed under: 53 other names
Description: tRNA-Ser
Rfam family: tRNA
About the family: Transfer RNA (tRNA) molecules are approximately 80 nucleotides in length. Their secondary structure includes four short double-helical elements and three loops (D, anti-codon, and T loops).
Source: RNAcentral